AAAUAUCUGGUUCUUGUAAUAUCACGGGACGAAACUUCAAAUGUAGAUGUCAGAGCAACAGUAGGAGGGUUACAGGGGACAGCUGUGAGCAGUGUCAAUCCAACCUAUACAGGGAGGAGGAGGAUUUUGGCUGUAACAAGAGUUGUAGUUGUUAUACCAAGGGAACAGAAAAAGGAAAACAACACGAAUGUGAACAGGUUGGAGGACAAUGCACUUGUAAGAGUAACGUGGGGGGUAGAACAUGUAACACCUGUAAACCUCUAUACUACAAUCUGACGGACAGUAACCCAUCAGGUUGUAAUAACUGUAACUGUGGUGCAGCAGUGAGGGAAUGUAAUAAACUUACAGGAAGCUGUACAUGUAAACAGAAUGUAGAGACUAGCUCAGGACGUUGUUUAAAAUGUAACUUCGGAUUCUAUGGGGCCAGCUUAGAUGAUGGAUGUAAGAAUUGUAGUUGUAGCACUUCAGGUGUGAUAGGUGACCCUAGAAACUGUUCAGACUCAGAUGGCCAGUGUAACUGCAAACAAAAA
Molecule: long non-coding RNA, 530 nt
Organism: Saccostrea echinata
Lineage: Eukaryota; Metazoa; Mollusca; Bivalvia; Ostreida; Ostreidae
Exons: 3
Source: RefSeq, a predicted model, not a curated record